Molecule: long non-coding RNA, 1348 nt
Organism: Salmo salar (Atlantic salmon)
Lineage: Eukaryota; Metazoa; Chordata; Actinopteri; Salmoniformes; Salmonidae
Source: RefSeq, a predicted model, not a curated record
UAUUAUACUGUAGAUUGCUCCGUGUAGGUUGCAUUGCCUUAUCAUAACCGCAAGCAUACAAUAACGCUUCAAUAACCGGCACAUUUGGAUUCCCAAGGUGUAGCAAUUGGCACUGACUUGAUAAUGGAGUAACUCAAUAAGUGUUAAUAAGAAAUUUAAAGACUAUGUACCGGUGGCUCCCAUGCACCUUAGUAACACAUGCGCACAUAAAAACCUUUGGUUACAUCUGGUUCUGUGAUUGGACAUAAAACAAGCUGCCACUGGAAUGACGUCACGGCGGCCGUAAAUUGUCAACAGAAGACGCACUCAGCAGGCGAGUAGAGCUCGGAGGACUACUGAAGGAGACGGACUAACCCGGAGAAGACUGUGCGUAUUAAUCCAAUGAUUGGAUCGACAGAUGAAGAGUGAGCCCGCGAAUUAACCACACAUACGCACUUGGAGGGAAGAUAGAACUGAAGACUGAAUAAAGGGGAUUCCAAACAUAUAUUUCUUCCUCUUGGACCUAAAACAUAAGUGUCUGAUGAAGCACGCGAUCACUACCCGCUCACCAAUCCGUCAUGAGUCUGAGGCAGCAAGACAAAGUAGUCUACGAAAAUGUGAACCGGAGGUCGUUUUCUGUCUUUGGUUAUCUAGCUGUAUGAGUGUUAAAUACCUGUCAUAAAGCUAGAUAACCGAAAGUAGAAAUUACUUCCACAUUCUUGUUCUGGUGGAAAAUAAGGCCUAGGGUAUGCCUACAACUAAGUUAGGCCUUUUGACAAGUUUCGCCAAGUUCCACCUCAAAGGCGACUCGUUCACAACAUGGUGUGUUCAAGGAGCACAAAUAGGGGACAGAAUCAUCAACAAAAAGCGAAUGAGGAGGUGAAUUGCCACACAAUAGCCCACCCCCUUUACCCACCGGCCUCUAAUGCCAUCUGUACUGCAAAAUGGGAGACAAGAGACGCCGUGCCUAUGCCAAGAGGGGGACAAAGCCAGAUCUCCAGAGGAUGGGCACGCUGAGAGCAGAGAGAGGAGCCAUCUUGGGAGACAUUGCUGCAGAACCUAAGAUGGCUGGGCUGGCAUAAGACGUUUGGAUGUGGAGUGGUCAGUAGGGAGGGAGAUUCUGCAUACUCUAUUGGUGUUCCUGGUACAGUAUGGACCAAACCACUAAACAACCAUCAGACUGUUGGAAACCAUCUCUGUCACUGUCAUACAAAGUUUAUACAACCAGAGGACCACGACAAGGAAGAGGGAAGAUUUGUGCAAUUUAGUUUUAUUUGUGUUUUUUGUUAGCAAUAGUGUAAUGAUUCGAUUUUCUUUUUUACUACAAUUUGUUUCUAUUUGUCUUUGUUACUUCUUUUUAUAUUUAUUA